This 253-nucleotide ribosomal RNA is filed under the name uncultured bacterium. Its description in RNAcentral is "partial 16S ribosomal RNA". It matches the Rfam family "Archaeal small subunit ribosomal RNA", at positions 474 to 727 of the family's 1478-position model. The record is from RNAcentral.
UACCAGCACCCCGAGUGGUCGGGACGAUUAUUGGGCCUAAAGCAUCCGUAGCCGGUUCUACAAGUCUUCCGUUAAAUCCACCUGCUCAACAGAUGGGCUGCGGAGGAUACUAUAGAGCUAGGAGGCGGGAGAGGCAAGCGGUACCUAGUGGGUAGGGGUAAAAUCCGUUGAUCCAUUGAAGACCACCAGUGGCGAAGGCGGCUUGCCAGAACGCGCUCGACGGUGAGGGAUGAAAGCUGGGGGAGCAAACCGG